Molecule: long non-coding RNA, 376 nt
Filed under: Hordeum vulgare
Lineage: Eukaryota; Viridiplantae; Streptophyta; Magnoliopsida; Poales; Poaceae
Description: long non-coding RNA (HVUL_LNC010715)
Source: RNAcentral
ACCAGUCUUCGGUGCCAACAUCAGACGUGGUGGCAUAGGAGGGGAGGGGUGCUGGUGGCUGGGUAUGGUGACUGUCUCGGUUGGGAAACAGUGAUAUGGGGGCUGGGUUAAAGAGGUGUGACAUGACACUAACUAGGCACUGACUAGGCGGUCGGAAGUCAAAACUAGUAAAGCCCGACCAGAAAACUGAUUUGAAUGGAGUGGGCAUCAUUUUUUUUGUUUUCAGAUUUCAUCAGAAAUGUAAAUAAUCCCUCCGUGAAGUAGUGAUCUAAGAGAAUCUACAACCGGACUUGACAAAUUGGGCCCAUGUACGACUGCGGGCGCGUUCGUCGGCCCCUCAUAUGUUGCGUCGUACAUCCACAUACGUCAAAUGUCA